UGGGCUUGAAGUACUGGUAGUACAGAGAUGAAAAUCGACGGAACCGUUAAGCCGGUUGCCAGUAG
This 65-nucleotide ribosomal RNA is filed under the name uncultured bacterium. RNAcentral describes it as "partial 16S ribosomal RNA". The record is from RNAcentral.